CCUACGGGUGGCAGCAGUGAGGAAUAUUUGUCAAUGGGCGCUAGCCUGAACCAGCCAAGUAGCGUGAAGGGUGACUGCCCUACGGGUUGUAAACUUCUUUUAUAUGGGAAUAAAUUGCAGUGUGUAUACUUCUUUGCAUGUACCUUAUGAAUAAGGAUCGGCUAACUCCGUGCCAGCAGCCGCGGUAAUACGGAGGCGCCGAGCGUUGUCCGGAUUUAUUGGGUUUAAAGGGAGCGUAGGCGGGUUGUUAAGUCAGUUGUGAAAGUUUGCGGCUCAACCGUAAAAUUGCAGUUGAUACUGGCAGCCUGGAGUACAGUAGAGGUAGGCGGAAUUCGUGGUGUAGCAGUGAAAUGCUUAGAUAUCACGAAGAACUCCGAUUGCGAAGGCAGCCUGCUGGACUGUAACUGACACUGAUGCUCGAAAGUGUGGGUAUCAAACAGGAUUAGAUACCCGAGUAGUC
Molecule: ribosomal RNA, 460 nt
Filed under: uncultured bacterium
Lineage: Bacteria
Description: partial 16S ribosomal RNA
Rfam family: Bacterial small subunit ribosomal RNA
Source: RNAcentral